GGAGAAUCACCUGCUUCUGCUUCUCGAGUGCUUGAACUAAGGACAUGCACCACCACCACCCCGAAUUUCUAUGAUCAAUAACUCAAGUGAUAACUCAUGCUGGAAAGAAUGUGGAUCAAGGGGACCACUCCUUUUUUUGUAGAACCUUCAUCUAGCGAUGGAUGGAGAUAGAGACAGAGACCCACACUGGAGCACCGGACUGAGCUCCCAAGGUCCUAAUGAGGAGCAGAAGGAGGGAGAACAUGUACAACGAAGUCAGGACCACGAGGGGUGCACCCACCCACUGAGACAGUCGGACCGAUCUAUUGGGAGCUCACCAAGGCCAGCUGGACUGUGACUGAAAAAGCAUGGGAUAAAACCGGACUCUCUGAACAUGGCGGACAAUG
Molecule: long non-coding RNA, 386 nt
Organism: Chionomys nivalis (European snow vole)
Lineage: Eukaryota; Metazoa; Chordata; Mammalia; Rodentia; Cricetidae
Exons: 3
Source: RefSeq, a predicted model, not a curated record